This 2053-nucleotide small RNA is filed under the name Pan troglodytes (chimpanzee). RNAcentral describes it as "retained intron". The record is from RNAcentral. Lineage: Eukaryota; Metazoa; Chordata; Mammalia; Primates; Hominidae.
GAAGAGUAGGGGCCCGGACGCUGCAGCAGGCGGGGCACCCGGACUGGCGGCUUCGCUGGCGCAAGGUCGGUCCGGCGGCCAGGGACCUGGAAGGCUGCGAGGCCCUGCGAAGUCGAGGUUCGGAGUUUGCUGGUCCCAGGCCCGGCCCGAGGUAAGAAAGAGCCGCCUCCCCGCACGGCCGGAGGACCCGGGCGCCCCGAGUUCGACUUCUCAACCUCCGUCCGGACGGGAAACGGAGCACGGAGAUGUUCCUGAGGUCUCUUCCCUGGGAAGCGCAGCCCCGAUUUUCCGCCCCUGUCCCUUAGCAGGUCGCCGACCAUCCGAGCGCUGGGCAUCGGCCCACGCGUACAGAAGGCGCUCAAUAAAUGCUCACUAGUGAAUCAGUAAAAUAAAUCGGCAGCAAAGAGAGACGAGACGCGUGCUGAUCUUCAGGUGUUGGGGAAAUCAGGGACGCGAACAUUUAUUGAGCUCUUAUUGUAUACCCCGUCGGCCAGCAUUUGUGUCCAUUUCACACAUGAGGAAUAAGAGGCCCAGAGAGGUGAAGUGACUUCCUUAAGGCCACACAGAUAAGAUAGUAAGUGGCCGAGACGAAUUUGAAACCAGGGGUGUCCUGUUUCAACUUGGUGCCAAAUAGAGUAACUCGGACUCCAGUUGGAGGGGUUCGGGAGAACCAUAGAAGAGGAAGGGCCGUGUCUUCCGUGGACAGGCCACCGGAGCCACCAGCUGUUUGGAACUGAGCUACUGCAGAAAGGGAAGUGGAGAGUAAGGGCCAGGCCCCGUGGGGGCAGAUGGCCGGCAGAUGGCUGAAUCUGCACUGGGCACUGAGUGUGCUUUGUGUGCUGCUAAUGGCGGAGACAGUGUCUGGGACUAGGGGCUCGUCUACAGGAGCUCACAUUAGCCCCCGGUUUCCAGCUUCAGUGUCGCAAGGUGUGUGGCCUGAAUGUCUCUGACCGCUGUGACUUCAUCCGGACCAACCCUGACUGCCACAGUGAUGGGGGGUACCUGGACUACCUGGAAGGCAUCUUCUGCCACUUCCCUCCCAGCCUCCUCCCUCUGGCUGUCACUGUCUACGUUUCCUGGCUGCUCUACCUGUUUCUGAUUCUGGGAGUCACCGCAGCCAAGUUUUUCUGCCCCAACUUGUCGGCCAUUUCUACCACACUGAAGCUCUCCCACAACGUGGCAGUAUCCUUUUGUCCAGUGUCCUGCACCCUGGAGGGAGGGCAGUUGUGGGGAGGCUGGGAGAUAGGGUCAUGUCUAUCCCCGUGUGGGGAAGCUGGGGGAUAGGGUCGAAGGCCUGGGUGGGCUGCAGCUGCGAUCCUGGCCCGCCUUGACAUGCUCCCCACAUGGCGUCACCUUCCUGGCAUUUGGGAAUGGUGCACCUGACAUCUUCAGUGCCCUGGUGGCCUUCUCUGACCCGCACACAGCCGGCCUGGCCCUUGGGGCACUGUUUGGUGAGAGCAGCCCCAGUGAGGGGGGCGGGGAAAGCAGCAGGAGAGGGUGCAGGGUGGCUGAGCACUGGCCUCCUCCCCCCAGGUGCUGGCGUGCUGGUUACCACAGUGGUGGCCGGAGGCAUUACCAUCCUACACCCCUUCAUGGCUGCCUCCAGGCCCUUCUUCAGGGACAUCAUUUUCUACAUGGUGGCUGUGUUCCUGACCUUCCUCAUGCUCUUCCGUGGCAGGGUCACGCUGGCAUGGGCUCUGGGUGAGCAGCUCUGGGGCUCAGGCGUGAGAUCCCAGGGCUGAUGGGCAGGAGGUUUAGGAGGUGCCUGGGACAGAGAGGUGUGAGGGGUGGUCAGUGGGGGCUUUGAUUACAAGUGACAGAAACCCUCCUCAAGCUGGCUUGAGCAAAAAUGGGAACAUGUGGGUCACAUAACCAAAGAGGCCUGGCAGAGCUGGGGGCUGGGGAGGGAGUAUUCAAAAGUGUCACAAUUUUUUGGCCAAGCGUGAUGGCUCACACCUAUCAUCCCAGCAAUUUGAGAGACUGAGGCAGGAGGAUCACUUUGGUUCAGGAGUUUGAGACCAGCCUGGGCAACAUAGCGAGACUACAUCUCUAC